GGUAGAUGCAGCGAAAAUUAUGAAAUGAUAAUAGAAAAGUGGUUAAGUUAAUUGUGAAAGAUGUCAACGCAGACGUAAAUGUAGUAUGUUUUGUUACAUGAUCUACGGCUAUUUCAUUACCAAAGCUCCUGAUAACAGAUCAAAGCAGAUGGAUCGGGCAUACAGAGUCGCCGUUUAAUUUAAAAUAUCUGCGUGAUCGGUAAGUUUUAAAUAGUACUAGUUUUGUUCACCAUUCUAAUGCUCGAUUUAUCUUUCAUUCCUCAAGCAAACGCAUCAAACAGCAAGUGUUUUUCCUUCCAACAGCACGCACCAUCGGUGGUGCAGCAGCUAACGUUUUGUUCGCCUAGCGCGCACCAUCAAGAAUUGAUAUUUUGCCAAACAGUACUGUGAAUAAAAAACUGCACACUUACUGUAGGAA
Molecule: long non-coding RNA, 418 nt
Organism: Anopheles coluzzii
Lineage: Eukaryota; Metazoa; Arthropoda; Insecta; Diptera; Culicidae
Exons: 2
Source: RefSeq, a predicted model, not a curated record